GAAACAGGUUAAUAUUCCUGUACUGAUCAUAAUUGCGAUGGGGGGACGGAGAAAGCUAGGCCAGCACACUGUUGGAUGUGUGUUUAAGCGCGUAGGUUGGGGACUUAGGCAAAUCCGGGUUCCUAAGACUGAAACGUGAUGACGAGUUUCUACGGAAACGAAGUGGUUGAUGCUCUGCUUCCAGGAAAAGCCUCUAAGCUUCAGAUUAUGACAACCGUACCCCAAACCGACACAGGUGGGUAGGAAGAGAAUUCCAAGGUGCUUGAGAGAACUCGGGUAAAGGAACUCGGCAAAAUGAUACCGUAACUUCGGGAUAAGGUAUGCCUCUGAUGGUGAAUAGCUGUUGGAGGCCGCAGAGAAUAGGCCGCUGCGACUGUUUAUCAAAAACACAGCACUCUGCAAACACGAAAGUGGACGUAUAGGGUGUGACGCCUGCCCGGUGCUGGAAGGUUAAUUGAAGAUGUGAGAGCAUCGGAUCGAAGCCCCAGUAAACGGCGGCCGUAACAAUAACGGUCCUAAGGUAGCGAAAUUCCUUGUCGGGUAAGUUCCGACCCGCACGAAUGGCGUAACGAUGGCCACACUGUCUCCUCCCGAGACUCAGCGAAGUUGAAGUGGUUGUGAAGAUGCAAUCUACCCGCUGCUAGACGGAAAGACCCCGUGAACCUUUACUGUAGCUUUGCAUUGGACUUUGAAGUCACUUGUGUAGGAUAGGUGGGAGGCUUUGAAGCAGAGACGCCAGUCUCUGUGGAGCCGUCCUUGAAAUACCACCCUGGUGUCUUUGAGGUUCUAACCCAGACCCGUAAUCCGGGUCGGGGACCGUGCAUGGUAGGCAGUUUGACUGGGGCGGUCUCCUCCCAAAGAGUAACGGAGGAGUUCGAAGGUUACCUAGGUCCGGUCGGAAAUCGGACUGAUAGUGCAAUGGCAAAAGGUAGCUUAACUGCGAGACCGACAAGUCGAGCAGGUGCGAAAGCAGGACAUAGUGAUCCGGUGGUUCUGUAUGGAAGGGCCAUCGCUCAACGGAUAAAAGGUACUCCGGGGAUAACAGGCUGAUUCCGCCCAAGAGUUCAUAUCGACGGCGGAGUUUGGCACCUCGAUGUCGGCUCAUCACAUCCUGGGGCUGUAGUCGGUCCCAAGGGUAUGGCUGUUCGCCAUUUAAAGUGGUACGUGAGCUGGGUUUAAAACGUCGUGAGACAGUUUGGUCCCUAUCUGCAGUGGGCGUUGGAAGUUUGACGGGGGCUGCUCCUAGUACGAGAGGACCGGAGUGGACGAACCUCUGGUGUACCGGUUGUCACGCCAGUGGCAUCGCCGGGUAGCUAAGUUCGGAAGAGAUAAGCGCUGAAAGCAUCUAAGCGCGAAACUCGCCUGAAGAUGAGACUUCCCUUGCGGUUUAACCGCACUAAAGAGUCGUUCGAGACCAGGACGUUGAUAGGUGGGGUGUGGAAGCGCGGUAACGUGUGAAGCUAACCCAUACUAAUUGCUCGUGAGGC
This 1487-nucleotide ribosomal RNA is filed under the name Sminthopsis crassicaudata (fat-tailed dunnart). Its description in RNAcentral is "bacterial LSU rRNA". It matches the Rfam family "Bacterial large subunit ribosomal RNA", at positions 1422 to 2917 of the family's 2925-position model. Lineage: Eukaryota; Metazoa; Chordata; Mammalia; Dasyuromorphia; Dasyuridae. The record is from RNAcentral.